This 501-nucleotide ribosomal RNA is filed under the name uncultured bacterium. Its description in RNAcentral is "partial 16S ribosomal RNA". It matches the Rfam family "Bacterial small subunit ribosomal RNA", at positions 30 to 523 of the family's 1533-position model. The record is from RNAcentral.
AUUGAACGCUGGCGGCAGGCUUAACACAUGCAAGUCGAGCGGGGAAAAGUAGCUUGCUACUUGACCUAGCGGCGGACGGGUGAGUAAUGCUUAGGAAUCUGCCUAUUAGUGGGGGACAACAUCUCGAAAGGGAUGCUAAUACCGCAUACGUCCUACGGGAGAAAGCAGGGGACCUUCGGGCCUUGCGCUAAUAGAUGAGCCUAAGUCGGAUUAGCGAGUUGGUGGGGUAAAGGCCUACCAAGGCGACGAUCUGUAGCGGGUCUGAGAGGAGGAUCCGCCACACUGGGACUGAGACACGGCCCAGACUCCUACGGGAGGCAGCAGUGGGGAAUAUUGGACAAUGGGGGGAACCCUGAUCCAGCCAUGCCGCGUGUGUGAAGAAGGCCUUUUGGUUGUAAAGCACUUUAAGCGAGGAGGAGGCUACCGAGAUUAAUACUCUUGGAUAGUGGACGUUACUCGCAGAAUAAGCACCGGCUAACUCUGUGCCAGCCGCCGCAGUAA